GCCAGUGUGAUGGAAUGGUAGACAUAGGGGAUUCAAAAUCCCCCGCCUUCGGGUGUAGGGGUUCAAGUCCCCUCUCUGGUACCA
RNAcentral lists this transfer RNA (84 nucleotides) under Sulfurimonadaceae bacterium. RNAcentral's name for it is "tRNA-Leu". It matches the Rfam family "tRNA". From Rfam's summary of the family: Transfer RNA (tRNA) molecules are approximately 80 nucleotides in length. Their secondary structure includes four short double-helical elements and three loops (D, anti-codon, and T loops). The record is from RNAcentral. Lineage: Bacteria; Pseudomonadati; Campylobacterota; Epsilonproteobacteria; Campylobacterales; Sulfurimonadaceae.